Molecule: ribosomal RNA, 497 nt
Filed under: uncultured bacterium
Lineage: Bacteria
Description: partial 16S ribosomal RNA
Rfam family: Bacterial small subunit ribosomal RNA
Source: RNAcentral
GAUGAACGCUGGUGGCGUGCCUAAUACAUGCAAGUCGAGCGAACAGACGAGGAGCUUGCUCCUCUGACGUUAGCGGCGGACGGGUGAGUAACACGUGGAUAACCUACCUAUAAGACUGGGAUAACUUCGGGAAACCGGAGCUAAUACCGGAUAAUAUAUUGAACCGCAUGGUUCAAUAGUGAAAGACGGUUUUGCUGUCACUUAUAGAUGGAUCCGCGCCGCAUUAGCUAGUUGGUAAGGUAACGGCUUACCAAGGCAACGAUGCGUAGCCGACCUGAGAGGGUGAUCGGCCACACUGGAACUGAGACACGGUCCAGACUCCUACGGGAGGCAGCAGUAGGGAAUCUUCCGCAAUGGGCGAAAGCUUGACGGAGCAACGCCGCGUGAGUGAUGAAGGUCUUCGGAUCGUAAAACUCCGUUAUUAGGGAAGAACAAAUGUGUAAGUAACUAUGCACGUCUUGACGGUACCUAAUCAGAAAGCCACGGCUAACUACGUG